AUGGAGACCAGUGGUCAGUCACUACUUAUAAAAAGUAAAAAUGACAGUUUCAAAAGCUAGCAUUAUGAGUUUCUCUUACUAAGCCCCCACUGUCUACAGGCUGAAGGUAAUGGAAUCCAAGAGUGUCCUGAAUCAUGGCCAUAACUUCUAGCCAGCCAGUAUAAAUUUGGUAGUAAUCGUGGCUCUAAAUAAUGGAUUUCUGUGUUCCUAUUUCCAAUGGUAAUAUAAACUUACAAUUUAUACAUUUCUUCCCUUCUUCCUGGCAGAAGGAAUUUACCUUUUCUUGAAUUGACCUGAACUACACAAAGCUGACACAAAUUACUAUCUAAAACAAACUUUCAUUAAUGCUGGAUCAUUUCAGAGACCACAAAUUAUGCAGUAUUUUCCCAUUUCCUUUGUUUUUUCCAUGAUCAGUGAUUCUAACACUUUAGUUUGGUCACAGUUUGAUAGGGCACCUAAGUCAGCAGAAUGAAUGCCUUUGUGUCUACAGCAUAGACAAAAGGGCCUCAUCCAGUACAAAUCCCAAGUUGAGUAAGAAGGAGCCUGUUCUGUGGGCUCAUAAACUCAUGUUGCCUCAGCACCUAGAGUUAUUUACUCCUUAUACCUCCAUACAGGUCUAAACUGCUUUCAACUCCAACCCCCAGCUUUCACGUUCCAUUCAAAAGUUAACAAAAAAAUCUAACACUUGCUAGUCAGACUUACAAGCUGGGGUUUUCUUAGUAGCAUUUUAUUUGAAUAAGAUUACUUUUUAGUCAAUGUACAUACACAUAUCAAAUAGCACCAAAGGGCUCCAAAGAAAGACAGCAAUCUCUUGCCCCAUCCCUACCAAUCCCACAGUCCUACUCCCCAGAGUCAGCCACAAUCAACUCUUCUAGCUUUAUUUUCUGUAUUUACUUCAAUUUUUGUAAAAAAAAAAAAAAAAAAGAAAAAGAAAAAGAACCUUAUAUUGCUAUUUUCUGAUUUAUCAAUUUUUAGACUUAUCCACACCCAUCCACUUCCCCUCACUCCAUCCUCCCCAUAUAGUUACAUGUGAACUCCUGGUUAUGUCAAUACAACACUGGAUUUUGGGAUUUUGGAAGACAAUGGUGCAAUGGUUUCAGAAGGAAAAUCAUUUUCAACUAGAAUAGACAGCCAAAAUCUCAGUCAAGUGUGAGUGGAAGAAAUCCAUUUUCAGAAAUAUAAAGACUGAAAACAUGCACCUCCCUUUCUUUAAUGUGCUUCCACAAAAGAAAGGAUUGAAACAAGCAGAGAAAGGCAUGGGAUCUCAGGAAUACGGGCAUCAACACGAGAAGAGGGUGAAGAAAAAUCUCAGGAUGACAGCUGUGCAACAAGCACUUGUUAGGUGGCCCUUUUAUUCUGCCCACUUCUGGCCUCCGUUCUGUUUUCUUUAUUCUCUUAACCAGAGACUCUCACUAAUCAGCCCCUGCCAGGAGGACCUUGGAGGCCACAUGCUCCAGAUGGCAUACCUACAAGACAGAGGAGAGCCAUCAACCAUAUUGGACUUCAUAGUCAACACAGUGCCUUACACAGUGCCCAAUAAACAUCCACUACUGAG
Ceratotherium simum simum (southern white rhinoceros) is the source of this 1555-nucleotide non-coding RNA. Lineage: Eukaryota; Metazoa; Chordata; Mammalia; Perissodactyla; Rhinocerotidae. The record is from RefSeq and is a predicted model, not a curated record.